AUAAUAGGAGCGACUGCCCCGCUGGCUAACUAUUGUCUGUCUGUGCACACACAUACAAAUUGGGCAUUUGUGCACAACACUUAGGAUAAUAGAUGUUGGGGAGAAGAGCUAGUCAGCCUGGAUAAGAUCACAAGAGGAAUGAUUCAGGAACACAAGAGCCAGAAACACUUUAAGCGGUCGAAAGCAUCUCAACUGAAGAACACCUAAAUAACAUCAACAAGCGUGGUGACAGGAAGCUAUUGUGUUCUGUAUCGCAAUAUAUCAAGCCUCAUUACUUCAGAUCUCAAAAUACAGUGACAAUGCAGACCACAAUUGAUCUGAUGUACAACACCACCAUGCAAGAGGAACUCAGCGUUUCUUUUGCAACGACUACUUUCGCUGCAACUAGUGCUGCCGAGAUCAGCUGUGUUAUUGACGCCCAGCUAGCGUUUAUAGCAACAGCGAUUGCUGGUGGCAUCAUGCUGAUCCUUUUAACCUCCACCAUAGUAUUGGCAUGUACCGUCUCAAGCCUGAAACGUCAUCACCGGGCCCCUCGCCCAUCCCGAAGCAAUGCAGACCUGGUGAGCGGUACAGGCUAUUGGGGUACCGAGAGAAAAGAGGGCGGUAUUGUGGGUCCAUGCGAAACCAGCGUUCUACUAGAGGAGGUAAAGACAGACGGCGAGGAGGAAGAUAUCCACGAUGGCGCGGCAGGGCCGAGCCAGUAUAUCACCACUUCUAACGCGGCCGGUGAUUCAGAAAGCAUCCCGACAGCCAUGCAAAGCUCAACCUCCAGGGAUUCCUGCAUAGAUCCCAUAAGUUUGGAGAACAUGCCUUUGAUGGUGUAAAGGAUAAGAGCUUUUUUUGUACACUGGGCUAUAAUGUUUUCUUUCUGCCUUUUUUAAAAUGUCUUCAACAGUUCAGCUACUGCAGUAAGAAAGCAAGCUAAUAAAAGUGCAUAGUCAAACGUGCCUUACAGGGUUUUUUCAAAAUUGUUUAACUAACUACAAUUUUUGCUCAUCCUGUAAUGUAAAUGGAUUUGAUAAGUCAAACAGUCAGUAAAUAGAAAGCUUUGACCUUUUCACAUGUAAGGUCAAAGCAGUUUUCUCAUCUCAAUCAGCUCUGGAGAUCUAUUUAGUAAAGAUGACAAGGACAAUAAGUAAACGAAUAUGUGUAUGAUUGUACAUACUGUGAAAUCUAUCUAACAUCAGCAUUGUCUCACGUUUUGAUUUUAAAUAUGACAAGCACUGAAGAUGAAAGCCACUUUACUAUACACUGUGCAUAAACAGCAGACUACAGCAUGUGCUUUAAAGUGAUGUGUGUGUGUGAUUUCUACUGUAGUUUCAACUACAACCAACAAACAAAGUCAACAGUUUGGAUGAAACAACCUAUGAACAGCUUACUUACAGUUGAGGUCAAAAGUUUUCAUACACCUUGCAGAAUCUGCAAACUGUUAAUUAUUUUACCAAAAUAAGAGGGGGAAUAAGGCAUUUCACAUAAAAUAUGUUUACAUAUAGUAAGAGAAAAUAACAGUUGAAUUUAUAAAAAUGACCCGGUUCAAAACCGUACAUACUGUGUUGUUACCUGAAUGAUCCACAACUGUGUUUUUUGUUUAGUGAUAGUUGUUCAUGAGUCUCUUGUUUGUCCUGAAUAGUUAAACUGCCCACGUUUCUUCAGAAAAACCGUUCAGGUUCCCAAAAUUCUUUGGUUUUUCAGCAUUUUUUGUGUAUUUGAACCCUUUUCAGCAAUGACUGUAUGAUUCUGAGAUCCAAUUUUUCACAUUGAGGACAACUGAGGGACUCAUAUGUAACUAUUACAGAAUGUCCAAAUGCUCACUGAUGCUUCAAAGGAAACACGAUGCAUUAAGAGCAGGGGGUGAAAACUUUUGAAUUUGAAGAUUAGAGUAAAUUUAACUUAACAUGUCUUCUGGGAAUCAUUUGAGUAUAUUCUGUAGCUUCUAAAGGGCAGUACUAAAUGAAAAAAAUAUGGUAUUAAGGCAAAAUAGGAAAAAAAAACCCCAUCUUCAUUCCGUUCAAAAGUUUACACUCCUUAAUUUCUAAAAUAAUCAACAUUUUUUAGAUUCUGCAAGGUGUGUGUAAACUUUUGACCUCAACUGUAUAUUUGAUUCCAAAUAUUAAGCAGGGACAAAAGAAAUCACAUACUCCAGCCUUGCAAAUCCUAUAACAAUGAGCAAGUUUUCCAUCUCAGAACACUGACGUCAAUAUAAAAUAAAAUGCUAAUGAUUAAAAAAAAAGCUUGUUCCG
Labeo rohita (rohu) is the source of this 2240-nucleotide long non-coding RNA. RefSeq lists it as uncharacterized. Lineage: Eukaryota; Metazoa; Chordata; Actinopteri; Cypriniformes; Cyprinidae. The record is from RefSeq and is a predicted model, not a curated record. The transcript is spliced from 3 exons.